RNAcentral lists this unclassified non-coding RNA (402 nucleotides) under Hevea brasiliensis (rubber tree). Lineage: Eukaryota; Viridiplantae; Streptophyta; Magnoliopsida; Malpighiales; Euphorbiaceae. The record is from RNAcentral.
AGGGUGACAUCUGUAAUUUCAAGCGUCGAAAAUGGGCACUUGCGUCAUAACGAAAAAAAGGUAAAAAAAAAAAGCAUCCACAUUGGGUCCGAAUCGCCAACUGUACUCCACUUCUUCUCCGUCAGAGAUCCACCGGCCAGCACCAGCAAAGCCAGAUCUCGGCCGCUUUUCCGCCGUAUUGGAACGCAGAUCAUGGUUGAAAUUAAAUGAAAAUAAAGAAGAAAGAAAACGGUCAAGCAGUGCAAGUGUAUGCAGCGAGUGUCAUCGCCCACUCCAACCUCAUCUUAACCUAUAUUGACCGUAAUUAAUAAAGAAACGAAAGAGACAGGAGGUGGUCCCCACCAAUCAUUUACCGCGAAAAGACAACCUUAUCCCCUACACUUCCUUCUAUUUACUAUACCA